RNAcentral lists this ribosomal RNA (426 nucleotides) under uncultured bacterium. Its description in RNAcentral is "bacterial SSU rRNA". It matches the Rfam family "Bacterial small subunit ribosomal RNA", at positions 356 to 773 of the family's 1533-position model. The record is from RNAcentral.
AGGGAAUCUUCCGCAAUGGACGAAAGUCUGACGGAGCAACGCCGCGUGAGUGAUGAAGGUUUUCGGAUCGUAAAACUCUGUUGUUAGGGAAGAACAAGUACCGUUCGAAUAGGGCGGCACCUUGACGGUACCUAACCAGAAAGCCACGGCUAACUACGUGCCAGCAGCCGCGGUAAUACGUAGGUGGCAAGCGUUGUCCGGAAUUAUUGGGCGUAAAGCGCGCGCAGGCGGUCCUUUGAGUCUGAUGUGAAAGCCCACGGCUCAACCGUGGAGGGUCAUUGGAAACUGGGGGACUUGAGUGCAGAAGAGGAGAGUGGAAUUCCACGUGUAGCGGUGAAAUGCGUAGAGAUGUGGAGGAACACCAGUGGCGAAGGCGACUCUCUGGUCUGUAACUGACGCUGAGGUGCGAAAGCGUGGGGAGCGAAC